Molecule: transfer RNA, 73 nt
Filed under: Trichosporon asahii var. asahii CBS 8904
Lineage: Eukaryota; Fungi; Basidiomycota; Tremellomycetes; Trichosporonales; Trichosporonaceae
Description: tRNA-Gln (TTG) (tRNA-Gln-TTG-2-1)
Rfam family: tRNA
About the family: Transfer RNA (tRNA) molecules are approximately 80 nucleotides in length. Their secondary structure includes four short double-helical elements and three loops (D, anti-codon, and T loops). Further hydrogen bonds mediate the characteristic L-shaped molecular structure. tRNAs have two regions of fundamental functional importance: the anti-codon, which is responsible for specific mRNA codon recognition, and the 3' end, to which the tRNAs corresponding amino acid is attached (by aminoacyl-tRNA synthetases). tRNAs cope with the degeneracy of the genetic code in two manners: having more than one tRNA (with a specific anti-codon) for a particular amino acid; and 'wobble' base-pairing, i.e. permitting non-standard base-pairing at the 3rd anti-codon position.
Source: RNAcentral
GGUUCCUUAGUACAGUGGUUUAGUACCCGGGAUUUUGAUUCCCGUAACCCGGGUUCGAACCCCGGAGGAACCU